Molecule: ribosomal RNA, 495 nt
Filed under: uncultured bacterium
Lineage: Bacteria
Description: partial 16S ribosomal RNA
Rfam family: Bacterial small subunit ribosomal RNA
Source: RNAcentral
GACGAACGCUGGCGGCGUGCCUAAUACAUGCAAGUAGAACGCUGAAGGAGGAGCUUGCUUCUCUGGAUGAGUUGCGAACGGGUGAGUAACGCGUAGGUAACCUGCCUGGUAGCGGGGGAUAACUAUUGGAAACGAUAGCUAAUACCGCAUAAUAGCAGUUGUUGCAUGACAACUGUUUGAAAGGUGCAAUUGCACCACUACCAGAUGGACCUGCGUUGUAUUAGCUAGUUGGUGGGGUAACGGCUCACCAAGGCGACGAUACAUAGCCGGCCUGAGAGGGUGAUCGGCCACACUGGGACUGAGACACGGCCCAGACUCCUACGGGAGGCAGCAGUAGGGAAUCUUCGGCAAUGGACGGAAGUCUGACCGAGCAACGCCGCGUGAGUGAAGAAGGGUUUCGGAUCGUAAAGCUCUGUUGUAAGAGAAGAACGAGUGUGAGAGUGGAAAGUUCACACUGUGACGGUAUCUUACCAGAAAGGGACGGCUAACUACGUG